UGGGGAAUAUUGCACAAUGGGGGAAACCCUGAUGCAGCGACGCCGCGUGAACGAAGAAGGUAUUCGUAUCGUAAAGUUCUGUCCUAUGGGAAGAUAAUGACAGUACCAUAGAAGAAAGCUCCGGCUAAAUACGUGCCAGCAGCCGCGGUAAUACGUAUGGAGCGAGCGUUGUCCGGAAUUAUUGGGCGUAAAGGGUACGCAGGCGGUUUAAUAAGUCGGAUGUUAAAGAUCGGGGCUCAACCCCGCAAAGCAUUGGAAACUGAUAAACUUGAGUAGUGGAGAGGAAAGUGGAAUUCCUAGUGUAGUGGUGAAAUACGUAGAUAUUAGGAGGAAUACCAGUAGCGAAGGCGACUUUCUGGACACAAACUGACGCUGAGGUACGAAAGCGUGGGGAGCAAACAGG
RNAcentral lists this ribosomal RNA (403 nucleotides) under bacterium. Its description in RNAcentral is "partial 16S ribosomal RNA". It matches the Rfam family "Bacterial small subunit ribosomal RNA", at positions 355 to 776 of the family's 1533-position model. The record is from RNAcentral.